Molecule: ribosomal RNA, 411 nt
Filed under: uncultured Porphyromonadaceae bacterium
Lineage: Bacteria; Pseudomonadati; Bacteroidota; Bacteroidia; Bacteroidales; Porphyromonadaceae
Description: bacterial SSU rRNA
Rfam family: Bacterial small subunit ribosomal RNA
Source: RNAcentral
UGAGGGAAUAUUGGGUCAAUGGUCGGAAGACUGAACCAGCCAUGCCGCGUGAAGGUCAGUGCCCUAUGGGCGUUAAACUUCUUUUGUGUGAGAGCAAUAAGGACCUCGUGAGGUCCGAUGAGAGUAUCACACGAAUAAGCAUCGGCUAACUCCGUGCCAGCAGCCGCGGUAAUACGGAGGAUGCGAGCGUUAUCCGGAUUUAUUGGGUUUAAAGGGUGCGCAGGCGGACUCGUCAAGUCAGCGGUAAAAAUUCGGGGCUCAACCCCGUCCUGCCGUUGAAACUGCGAGACUGGAGUGCGACAGAGGAAAGCGGAAUGCGAGGUGUAGCGGUGAAAUGCAUAGAUAUCGCGCAGAACUCCGAUUGCGAAGGCAGCUUUCCAUGUCGUGACUGACGCUGAGGCACGAAAGCGU